This 1340-nucleotide long non-coding RNA is filed under the name Homo sapiens (human). RNAcentral describes it as "long intergenic non-protein coding RNA 635". The record is from RNAcentral. Lineage: Eukaryota; Metazoa; Chordata; Mammalia; Primates; Hominidae.
AUAGCAACAGCAGCGUAGCUGAACAUCUUACGGAUGGCCCAGGGCUCCAAAGGCUCGUUUCCUAAGUGAGAGAGAGCCUGGCUGAAGCUGUAUUACCAUUCAUUCUCCAGCCUCCGAAGUCUCAAAGCAUCACUUCCACCAUACUCUAACUGUCAAGACAAACACAAAGGCCCAGAGAAGGGGUCUCACUAUGUUGUCUGGAGUGCUGUGGUGGAGUGGAGUGGCUAUUCACAGCUGAGUUUGCAGAGUAAACCACUACCCUGAAAUCUGGAAAGGCAGGUGCACCCACAGAUCCUCAGCUGAGAUCCAAUUACCUGAAAUAGAAGCUGCCAUUAGGAACACUUAAAAGAGCCUGUUCUGCUGGGACACAGAAUCACUUGCUCCAUCUCAUACAUUGAUGAUGAUUAAUUUGUAUGUGUACCUUCCAAAAAAGAUGGUUGUGUUUGAAUGGAGGCCUUCUGGACAGGAAAAUAAUCACAUCCUUCCUGAGAUAAUGAGCACACAAUUGCCUGGAUACCUGAAGGAAUGGAGACAGCGGCAGAAAACACUGCAGAGAGGUGGAAACAUCCGUUAAUAUUUUAAAAUCCCAUUACUGCUACCAACAAUAAUAAUGGAUGCAUAGAAAUAGAUCUGGAUUAGCUGAGCUUGAAACAGUCCAUCUCACACACACACAAAAGAAUUUCAGAUACAGUGAACCCACAUGUUGAAGCUUUCUAGUAUAAUAAAAAUUUCAACUGUUCUGUUGAAUCAUCUGCCUGAUUGGAGGCUACAGAAAAGAUGUCAUCUUAGGAGUGCUUGCUCUGAGUGAGGCUCAUCUUCAAAUCUGAAUGACCACAAGGAGAUUUGAUUAUACAUGUGAACACCUCAGAAGGCACAGCCCACCCAGAAGGCAGACAGGUCAGGCUGCUUUUUCUUCAUUGCUUGGAUUCAAUCCUCCGGGCGGCUCAGGCUCAAACAUAACUUAAGCAUGAUUAAACUUUAGAAGAAGCUGCCAGGAAGACUGUGAAAUCUUCAUGCCCAAGGAUCCCUAAAAUUAGGAGCAACAACCACUUGGCUCAGACGGUUUAUGGAGGCAAAGGUUUGGAUGGGAUUAGAGAUUUCUAAAUGUGAGUUCGUGUCCUCUGCCAGACCACCUUACUUCCACCAUUCCUCAGCAAAUCAAGAAAAACAGGAGAAAAGACAUGCCUUUCCAUAAGUUAAAUCUAUUCUGUUUUAAUUCUAUAUUAUAUCUGCUGUACAACUUCUUUUGUUUGUAACACCAUAUUGUUGCUAGUAACUGGAAAUUAAUUUUCACAUGCCUCAGCUUAGAAAAAUAAAAAGCAGCCCUGCAUCAAUCCCAA